CCUACGGGUGGCAGCAGUGAGGAAUAUUGGUCAAUGGGCGCGAGCCUGAACCAGCCAAGUCGCGUGAAGGAAGACGGCCCUAUGGUUUGUAAACUUCUUUUAUAUGGGAGUAAAAUGAGCAACGUGUUCCGUUUUGUAUGUACCAUAUGAAAAAGCAUCGGCUAACUCCGUGCCAGCGGCCGCGGUAAUACGGAGGAGGCGAGCGGUAUCCGGAUUUAUUGGGUUUAAAGGGUGCGUAGGUGGUUAAUUAAGUCCGGGGUGAAAGUUUGCGGCUCAACCAGAAAAGUGCCGUUGAAACUGGUUGACUUGAGUAUAGUAGAGGUAGGCGGAAUGCGUGGUGUAGCGGUGAAAUGCAUAGAUAUCACGCAGAACUCCGAUUGCGAAGGCAGCUUACUAAACUAUAACUGACGCUGAGGCACGAAAGCGUGGGGAUCAAACAGGAUUAGAUACCCGUGUAGUC
RNAcentral lists this ribosomal RNA (460 nucleotides) under uncultured bacterium. RNAcentral's name for it is "partial 16S ribosomal RNA". It matches the Rfam family "Bacterial small subunit ribosomal RNA", at positions 338 to 795 of the family's 1533-position model. The record is from RNAcentral.